GUAUUGUAUUGCGUUAAACGCGGCAUACAUUCCAUGAGACUUUAUUACAGUGUGUAUGUGUAAAUAUGCAGGACCACGGUAGGAGGACAUAGCCCCCAGACCAUAGAACUACAGAGAGUGCACAGGUGUGAGUGGAUGUGUAAACAGAGUGUGCACAUGCCCCCACCUGGGGGCCAGCAACAACUUCAUGUUGACAAUUCGGUAAUGAUCCUUCCGCAGGUUCACCUACGGAAA
Molecule: unclassified non-coding RNA, 234 nt
Filed under: uncultured fungus
Lineage: Eukaryota; Fungi
Description: sequence contains ITS1
Source: RNAcentral